CGAGGCCCGUGUACUGCAGGGAGUCCCAGUGAGGUACAGCCCCGUGGUGGAGGCCGGCUCGGACAUGGUCUUCUGGUGGACCAUCAACGACAAGCAGUCCCUGACCUUCCAGAACGUGGUCUUCAAUGUCAUUUAUCAGAGCGCGGCGGUCGGCCGUGGAGGUGGCCUUCCUGUGGACCUUUGGGGAUGGGGAGCAGGCCCUCCACCAGUUCCAGCCUCCAUACAACGAGUCCUUCCCGGUUCCAGACCCCUCGGUGGCCCAGGUGCUGGUGGAGCACAAUGUCACCCACACCUACUGGCAUCUAAUGCCUUCGAGAACCGGACGCAGCAGGUGCCUGUGAGCGUGUGCGCCUCCCUGCCCUCUGUGAGUGUGUGCGCCUCCCUGACUGGGGCCUGCUGGUACCCCAGAGUGGGUGUCUGUUCCCCAGUCCCUGCUUUCCUC
RNAcentral lists this long non-coding RNA (442 nucleotides) under Homo sapiens (human). RNAcentral's name for it is "non-protein coding lnc-NPIPA1-4:1". The record is from RNAcentral. Lineage: Eukaryota; Metazoa; Chordata; Mammalia; Primates; Hominidae.